GAGGGMAAGYCUGGUGCCAGCAGCCGCGGUAAUUCCAGCUCCAGUAGCGUAUAUUAAAGUUGUUGCAGUUAAAAAGCUCGUAGUUGGAUUUGUGGUGUUUUUUUUUUUAUUUGCUUUUUUUGGUUUUUUGUUUUUCUCUAUGAGAUGAAUUGAAAACCUGGAAGCGAGGACACCAUCCUUGACAGGUUUGAAAGUGAUAUUAUAUCACCGCAAACAUUGUCAUCCUUUACUUUGAAAAAAUUGGAGUGAUUCAAGCAGGCAAGAAUUAUAAUUUUAAUUUUAAUUUAACUUUGCUUCUGCACAUGUUAGCAUGGAAUAAUGCAAGAGGACUUGGGUUUUCUCUUUCAUUGGUUUCAGGAAUCCGAGUAAUGAUUGAUAGGGACAGUUGGGGGUGCUCGUACUCGACGGCCAGAGGUGAAAUUCUUGGAUUCGUUGAAGACGAACAACUGCGAAAGCAUUCACCAAGGAUGUCUUCUUUAAUCAAGAACGAAAGUUGGGGGAUCGAAGAUGAUCAGAUACCGUCGUAGUCCCAACCAUAAACGAUGCCGACCAGGGAUCAGCGAGCGUUGAC
RNAcentral lists this ribosomal RNA (571 nucleotides) under Reticulamoeba gemmipara. Its description in RNAcentral is "partial 18S small subunit ribosomal RNA". It matches the Rfam family "Eukaryotic small subunit ribosomal RNA", at positions 553 to 1078 of the family's 1831-position model. The record is from RNAcentral. Lineage: Eukaryota; Cercozoa.